UACGUAGGAGACGAGCGUUGUCCGGAGUUACUGGGCGUAAAGGGUGCGCAGGUGGCGGCGCGCGUGGGGGGUGAAAUCGCCCGGCUUAACUGGGCGGGGGCCUUCCAGACGGCGUGGCUUGAGCAGCGGAGGGGGACGUGGAAUUCCGGGUGGAGCGGUGAAAUGCGUAGAGAUCCGGAAGAACACCGGUGGCGAAGGCGGCCUGCUGGGCAGUUGCUGACACUGAGGCGCGACAGCGUGGGGAGCAAACAGG
Molecule: ribosomal RNA, 253 nt
Filed under: uncultured bacterium
Lineage: Bacteria
Description: partial 16S ribosomal RNA
Rfam family: Bacterial small subunit ribosomal RNA
Source: RNAcentral